Molecule: long non-coding RNA, 934 nt
Filed under: Leptinotarsa decemlineata (Colorado potato beetle)
Lineage: Eukaryota; Metazoa; Arthropoda; Insecta; Coleoptera; Chrysomelidae
Description: uncharacterized LOC111503698, transcript variant X2
Source: RNAcentral
ACAAAAUCCACAUGGUCAUUGCUUACACGCGCACAAGUAAGCUCAACAAUCUAACUGACUGGAUCCAGAAUAUUUGUUUGUUAUCGAGCGUGCUCUUGAAGAUAUAAGAAUGGGAAGUUCUACCCUCUAGGAAGUUCAGUACAGAACAUUCGAAAGCAUUCCAUACAUUCCAGAACAUUCAAGAACUUUCUGGAAUGUUGUAGACUCUUCAAGAAUAGUCUGGAGCGUUUUAAAACAUUUUGGAUCACCUCAGAUAAUUGAGGAACAUCAUUGAACACUCUGGAAAUUUGUUAAAUAUUCGGGAAUCGUCUGGAGUUUUCGAGAACAUCCCGGAAUAUUCCUGAUCUUAGUGGAACAUUCCAGAACCCUCUCAAAUGUUGUGGAAUGUUCUGGAAAAUUGUGAUUCAAUCAGAGCUUUUUUGUAUUGGAGGAACAACAUCGGGAAUAUCAAGUGUUGUGAACUACUCAACGAGGAUGAAAGGCAGAUCGAGGAAAUCAACCUUAGAAAAUGUUAAACCUCAGUCUGAAAUCCAAUUAGGAAAUGACUUUUCUCAAGCUAACAAAAUCUUGAGAACAAAAUUAACUCAAUUUAUUACAAAAUCUUGACCUUCAAUAUACAAUCUAUGCCAGAAACCACUCCAGUAAACGAAAGGUCUACGUUUCAAAAGCGGUAGCAAUAUGAUGUUUUUUACAAACAUCAUAUUGUAUUUAGGACAGUUCCUUGUUUCUCGAUUGAUAUUAAAGAGUUGUAGUUAUUCUGAAUUCAAUGUAGUAUCAUUUUACUACUGAUUUUUUGGACUACAAUUGUGAAAACUAUUUUGUGAUAUACUAUUUACUAUAUUCAAUUCAUAUGUCAAAUAUUCUGUAAGUGUUUUUUGUUUCGAGAGAGCUUUUUCUUUCAUUUCAUUUCAGUUUUCCAUUGAGUGAAAUUUUA